This 475-nucleotide ribosomal RNA is filed under the name uncultured organism. Its description in RNAcentral is "partial 16S ribosomal RNA". It matches the Rfam family "Bacterial small subunit ribosomal RNA", at positions 332 to 798 of the family's 1533-position model. The record is from RNAcentral.
UACACUCCUGCGGGAGGCAGCAGUGGGGAAUUUUGGACAAUGGGCGAAAGCCUGAUCCAGCAAUGCCGCGUGAGUGAAGAAGGCCUUCGGGUUGUAAAGCUCUUUUGUCAGGGAAGAAACGGUGAAAGCUAAUAUCUUUUGCUAAUGACGGUACCUGAAGAAUAAGCACCGGCUAACUACGUCCCAGCAGCCGCGGUAAUACGUAGGGUGCAAGCGUUAAUCGGAAUUACUGGGCGUAAAGCGUGCGCAGGCGGUUUUGUAAGUCUGAUGUGAAAUCCCCGGGCUCAACCUGGGAAUUGCAUUGGAGACUGCAAGGCUAGAAUCUGGCAGAGGGGGGUAGAAUUCCACGUGUAGCAGUGAAAUGCGUAGAUAUGUGGAGGAACACCGAUGGCGAAGGCAGCCCCCUGGGUCAAGAUUGACGCUCAUGCACGAGAGCGUGGGGAGCAAACAGGAUUAGAAACCCUAGUAGUCCCAU